AUGAACGCUAGCGAUAGGCUUAACCCAUGCAAGUCGCGGGGCAGCACAAGGUAGCUUGCUAUCUGGGUGGCGACCGGCGCACGGGUGCGUAACGCGUAUGCAACUUGCCCUAUACAGGAGGAUAACCCGUCGAAAGACGGACUAAUACUGCGUAUGCUCACAACUUGGCAUCAAGUGGUGAGGAAAGAAAUUCGGUAUAGGAUAGGCAUGCGUCCCAUUAGCUUGUUGGUGAGGUAACGGCUCACCAAGGCAACGAUGGGUAGGGGAACUGAGAGGUUUAUCCCCCACACUGGUACUGAGACACGGACCAGACUCCUACGGGAGGCAGCAGUGAGGAAUAUUGGUCAAUGGGCGCGAGCCUGAACCAGCCAAGUCGCGUGAAGGAUGACUGUCUUAUGGAUUGUAAACUUCUUUUAUACGGGAAUAACAAGAGUCACGUGUGACUCCCUGCAUGUACCGUAUGAAUAAGCAUCGGCUAACUCCGUG
Molecule: ribosomal RNA, 486 nt
Filed under: uncultured bacterium
Lineage: Bacteria
Description: partial 16S ribosomal RNA
Rfam family: Bacterial small subunit ribosomal RNA
Source: RNAcentral